Molecule: non-coding RNA, 3848 nt
Organism: Styela clava
Lineage: Eukaryota; Metazoa; Chordata; Ascidiacea; Stolidobranchia; Styelidae
Source: RefSeq, a predicted model, not a curated record
CAAAUGAAUGAGCUGAAAAUGCUUGAUUGUAUAACUAGGAGACGAGGACGGGAUGGAGAGAGAGGUAUUGCUGCCAAGACCAUGUGCGAGAUUUUUCGUAUUGCAAUCAAACACAUGAUUCGAAAACAAUAAUUUGUUUUUGAAAUUGUUGUCAAAUGCUAAUGUCGAUCCCCCUAGCAGUUAGUAAUUGCAAUUAAUUGAAGUAGAUAAUAAGCUUUAAUAUUUAUAUAAAUCAUAUCGACAAAUAGACAGAUACAGUUGUUUAAAUGAAUUCCGUAUUUAUGAAGUGCUCUAGUUAGUAAAAGUUACUACUUAUCUUUAUAGGAUUCUUUAUAUAGCUGAUAUGCAGCACUUGCGUUACUUCGGACUUCAAAAAAGCGCUAGAUAUAAAUUGCAGAAAUAUUUACCCAUGGUGACGUCAGUGUAGAUGAGAUUUGUGACAAACUAUCUUUGACAUAAAUUGAAGUCGGUUCUUUAACCAUAUAUUUACUAAAUCAUCUUGUUUAUUAUUUGCAUAAGCUGAAAAUCGUAAAGAAAACUUAAUGAAUAAACAACUUGAUUUUCUCAAAACAUACGCUCAAUCUAACGCUCGCUCAUUUUACGGCUGACAAGUUUGGGGUGAAAUUAUGGGAUUUUAGCAGACGAAAACAUGUUACGUAAUAAUAAUAGGCGUGCAAAGUACGUGGACUCUGUAUUCUUAAAUUUCUGCUCAUGCACAACAAAUAUUCUGCAAUUUGUAAAUAUUUGCUAACUAAGGAAAAAGGAAAAAGGAGAAACUUCAACAUUGAAUAUUAAUACUAAAAAGAUAGAGACUUCUGAUCAGUGAUCGGUAGACACUAAGUAUGAGUGGGACAAAUUAUACUAAGGAAGCGUGGAAAACCGCGAAUCCUAUUUUGGUAUGAAAUACAACCAUCGGUAGCAACGUUCGCAAGAAAACGACAUACAACUGACGCUACUUACCACAAAACAAAUGCCGCACACAAAGUCAUUGUUACGACAUGCAUCCGUGCAUCCGUGCUCCUAACAAUGCAGUUAGAAGCAAUUUUCGUUUUCAUGCAUUAAAAGUGAGGUCGUUAAUCAAGAGCCACAAAAAAUUGUUCGCGGGCGCAUUUGGCCGCUGAUCCGAAAAAACGGUUCACUAUCAAAAGCGGUGUCAAAACUAUUUUAAUGUGGUGUCGUGUGCUUGAUGGAUUCUAUAUACAACGUACAUGUUUUAUACUUAAUUAGAUGGUGAAUUAUUGAUUAAAUAAUUUAAUUACUUAGAAGCUACAAAACGUGACAAGGACUGACAAAUCAGACACGUUUGUCAUACCCCAAAAAAAUAUAGGUUAAGAAACUCAAUUUUAGGGAUAUACUAAUAAUUUAAAUACCUAAAUGAUUUUUUGUUUUGUCUUGUAAACUUAUACUAUUAUAUAUUUUUAUCAGAAUUUAGAUAUUUUCCUAAAACUUGCAAAAAAAUGACUUUGUAUUUUACUUCCCGGUAUGUUUCAUCGGUCGCUUUACCCAUGCUGAUGUUGUGUUGCUUGAUGAUGUCGUGUGACGUCGCAAAUGCACGCAGCGAAAGAAUAAGAAAGUGCGGAAACGAGGCAACAUCGUUUUUGAAAUGGUUCUGUCAGAAUCCAACGUUUGAAUUUCCUUUUGAUUUCUCAAAAGUGCAUGUUGUGUUGCGUUAUCAGCCGCCUCGAAAAGAGCUUUAUCCUUUCCAAUAUCAAGCUGCUGUCUGCUGUAAAAUGGGCUGCAAAGAGUAUGAGUUUCGUCGAUUGUGUAGAUACCAAAAUUUGCAUGAUUUAUGUACAAAUGGUAUCAAUAUUCGCACAAAAGAAGGAAGAGACUCACGAGCACAAUGUUUGCUUCAAGUUCACGGCUUAGCAGCUGCUCCUAAAACUAUAGCAUACAGUGGAAAAUGAAGGAAUUGAACUGAUAAUGAUAAAUCAAUAUACAUACCUAAUUUUGUCGUUUGUGUAUAUCUAUAUUCUUGCAGAUUUUUGUAUUUUUGAAGAAGCUUUUUUAUUUUAAAGAUUCAAAAAACUUGGAAGAAUCACACCAAAAGUAAAAUUGGGGUUUCAGUAGUCGUUAGCGUUUUUAUCUAUUUGUUUCAAUUAGUUUCAUUUUUUUUUAAUUAAUGUCAGAUUUUGAUAGGAUGUAAAAUUAAUACUCGAGUAGAUCAACCAAUUUGGGCCAGAUGAUGACAUUGAAAAUAUUCAAUAUAUUUAAUUUUUGUUAUUAUGUUUUGAACCGUAUUUAUAUUUUCAAUGGAAGAGUUUGUUUGCAAAUUUUAUUUGUAUUUUUUGAAUUAUUUAUUCUCAUUAAAACCAGGAAACGCUAUAUGUCAAUUUUAAAGAUUUGUAAUUUAAUGAUGCAACAUAUCCUAUAUAUUAUAAAGAAUUGCUUCAAAGAGUUCUUCCUAUUCAGGAUGCAUGGAUUAUAUUACAUUUGAGUGCAAUUGUAUUUUAAUGACUGAAUGUAUUUAUUUCUGUUCAGAAAUUUCCAUAAAAGUAUAAAUAGUUUUAACGAAUUAUUCUGUGAAAAUGUUAACGAAAAGUACCAUAUUCCGUUUAAGUGGAAUAGCAUUAUUUCUAUAUUCUCUAUUCUUUGCGUCAUCACAAGUUGAAGGGGCAAUACCACCGAAGCGAUGGGUUAGAAAAUGUGGACAAGAAUCGAAGACGUUUCUACGAUGGUAUUGCAAAGAUAAUUCUUUCGUAUUUCCAUUUCCGUUCCGCCAAGUUCAUGUUGUUCUGCGCUAUCCAGCCCCGAGAAAAGAGCUAUUUCCAUUUCAGCACCAAGCUUCUGAAUGUUGUAAACGCGGGUGCCAGGAAAGUGGAUAUAUCAAAAUGUGUUGGUAUCACAAUAUCCUCAAACAUUGCGAGAGGCACAACAACCACCAUACGGAGGAAGGUAGACAAAACCGUGCAAACUGCCUUCUGAAAUUAGAAAAAGUCAAAAGAUCCUAUGAAGUUGAACAAAUACCCAGGCUAACGAAAACUCAAAUUGCAAGCGAUCUUGCAUUAGAAAGCUCAUGAUCAUUUAACUUAUCAACAUAUAUUUAAAAAAACAUGUGUGCACUUUUUUGUAAAGGUGCAAUUGGCUGGCAGCUGGCGUGUUACGCAAAUUUUUUCAUGACAUCGCGGAACCAAGCACGUAACCCAAAAUUUUAAAAUUGGGCAAAUCUCUUUUCCAGCUGUAAAGGUCGCGAUCUCAAUGACUGUCUAUUUAACAAAGAUAUGACUGCAAACUAUUUUUUGCAGUUGAAUUUUUAAUAUAACAUGGUGUGGAGGGUAUUCGGAGGAAGAUUUCAAAAUGUUCUAUUUUUUUAUCCAGCAAUGCCAGUCAAAAUUAUUUUCAAUCGCCACAUAUUUUGGCUCAUUAUGUACAUAUUGCACUGUAAUAUUUAUGAACUUUACUUUCUGUAAUUUUAAAUUUAUUAUCAUGAUUAUUUAUACCCAAUUGGGCUUUCUGUUUCUUGUGUGUAUUACUCAUUUUUUCUAUUUAUUUAUUUAUUGGAUUAUUUAAAAAAAAUUCUUGUAUUGUUAUAGUGAAUUGGAUUAAUCGUUCAAUUCAUUUGUGCCAGAUAUACCCAAGUAAAUAAGAAAAUCGCCAUGCAAAAUAGGAUUUGCCGGAAAUUAAAUAUAUCUCAUGAGGAAAAUUUUGUAAUGCUUUGUGAAUGACGUUUUUCAAAAAAUAUUUUUACGUGUAAAAUUAUAGAACUUUAACAACUGUGAUAUUUUGCGCAGAAAUCACAGGGGGAGAAUUAUCAGAACAUGCAGAAUAACUUUGGAAUGACUUAUUGGCUUUAAUUAGGAUUAUAUAGAGCAGAUAUUUUUGACCAUUCUUUAAUUGAUACAUUAUUC